AAGACAGCAGCUGAGGCAGUGUAGGGUGAUUGAGAAAGUACACCAGUAACAAGCUGGGUAAAAGAUACAUUGAGAAAUGCUACUGAAAUGCCAAGGUGAGAUAGCUUGAGACUACAGCUCUGGGACAGACAUCUACAAACAGGCAAAGAAUCUCCAAGAUGUUACUCAGUCACCGGUGGGAAGAGGAAGUGGUUCAUGCAACCAUGAAAGGGAGGGGAGUUGGUCUACGAGACAAAGAAAAAAAAUGAAGAAAAGAAACAAU
Molecule: long non-coding RNA, 262 nt
Organism: Dermochelys coriacea (leatherback sea turtle)
Lineage: Eukaryota; Metazoa; Chordata; Testudines; Dermochelyidae
Exons: 2
Source: RefSeq, a predicted model, not a curated record